CAGGCUUAACACAUGCAAGUCGAGCGCCGCUUCGGUCAGCGGCAGACGGGUGAGUAACGCGUGGGAAUCUACCCAUCUCUACGGAACAACUCCGGGAAACUGGAGCUGAUACCGCAUACGUCCCUUUGGGGGAAAGAUUUAUCGGGGAUGGAUGAGCCCGCGUCGGAUUAGCUAGUUGGUGGGGUAAUGGCCUACCAAGGCGACGAUCCGUAGCUGGUCUGAGAGGAUGAUCAGCCACACUGGGACUGAGACACGGCCCAGACUCCUACGGGAGGCAGCAGUGGGGAAUAUUGGACAAUGGGCGCAAGCCUGAUCCAGCCUUGCCGCGUGAUUAAUGAAGGCCCUAGGGUUGUAAAGCUCUUUCGCAGGUGAAGAUAAUGACGGUAACCUGGGAAGAAGCCCCGGAAAACUUCGUGCCAGCAGCCGCGGUAAUACGAGGGGGGCUAGCGUUUUUCGAAAUUACUGGGCGUAACGCCCACU
RNAcentral lists this ribosomal RNA (480 nucleotides) under uncultured bacterium. RNAcentral describes it as "bacterial SSU rRNA". It matches the Rfam family "Bacterial small subunit ribosomal RNA", at positions 43 to 571 of the family's 1533-position model. The record is from RNAcentral.